This 488-nucleotide ribosomal RNA is filed under the name uncultured bacterium. RNAcentral's name for it is "bacterial SSU rRNA". It matches the Rfam family "Bacterial small subunit ribosomal RNA", at positions 29 to 516 of the family's 1533-position model. The record is from RNAcentral.
AUGAACGCUAGCGGCAGGCUUAACACAUGCAAGUCGAGGGGUAACAGGAGAGCUUGCUCUUGCUGACGACCGGCGCACGGGUGCGUAACGCGUAUACAAUCUGCCUUACACUGAGGGAUAGCCCAGAGAAAUUUGGAUUAAUACCUCAUGGUAUUUAUUAUUUGCAUGAAUUAUAAAUUAAAGGUUACGGUGUAAGAUGAGUAUGCGUCUUAUUAGCUAGAUGGUAAGGUAACGGCUUACCAUGGCAACGAUAAGUAGGGGCCCUGAGAGGGGGACCCCCACACUGGUACUGAGACACGGACCAGACUCCUACGGGAGCAGCAGUGAGGAAUAUUGGACAAUGGGUGAGAGCCUGAUCCAGCCAUGCCGCGUGCAGGAAGACUGCCCUAUGGGUUGUAAACUGCUUUUAUAAAGGAAGAACACAGAGUACGUGUACUUUACUGACGGUGCUUUAUGAAUAAGCAUCGGCUAACUCCGUGCCAGCAGCC